This 38-nucleotide non-coding RNA is filed under the name Trypanosoma brucei brucei. The record is from RNAcentral. Lineage: Eukaryota; Euglenozoa; Kinetoplastea; Trypanosomatida; Trypanosomatidae.
AAUCCAUAAUAAACAUUGUGAUAUUACCAGUGAUUUGA